RNAcentral lists this long non-coding RNA (372 nucleotides) under Trifolium pratense (red clover). Its description in RNAcentral is "long non-coding RNA (TPRA_LNC004180)". The record is from RNAcentral. Lineage: Eukaryota; Viridiplantae; Streptophyta; Magnoliopsida; Fabales; Fabaceae.
UGAAAAUAAAUUUCUCUUUAAAUUGAGAAAUAGUGGGGGCACUAGUGGGGGUAUUGCAACUGAUCACAUUUCAGUGAUCAGAAGCAGUGAUGAGAACAUCAAACAAGAUGUUAUGAACCUCGAAGAGGUAAGAUAGCAAUAGUUGCUAAAGAGUGUGAACCUUGUUACAUGGUUUAUACAUUAGAAGAGAAUUUAACUAGCUUUCAAAAAGCGUUGUCUUCCUUGAAGGUUGAUAUAUGGCAAGAGGCCAUAAAAGAUAAGAUAGAUUCUCAAUGGUCUAAUAAGACUUGACAUUUGAAAGAAUUGCCUCCUGAGUACAAACCAAUGAGUUGUAAAUGAAUUUUGAAAAAUAAUCUAAAACAUUAUAGAAAU